This 74-nucleotide transfer RNA is filed under the name Candidatus Doudnabacteria bacterium RIFCSPLOWO2_02_FULL_48_13. Its description in RNAcentral is "tRNA-Ala". It matches the Rfam family "tRNA". From Rfam's summary of the family: Transfer RNA (tRNA) molecules are approximately 80 nucleotides in length. Their secondary structure includes four short double-helical elements and three loops (D, anti-codon, and T loops). RNAcentral also lists the same sequence under 1 other name. The record is from RNAcentral. Lineage: Bacteria; Candidatus Doudnaibacteriota.
GGGCCCAUAGUAUAGUGGUAAUACGGGGCAUUCGCAUUGCUCAGACGGGAGUUCGAUUCUCCCUGGGUCCACCA